GAUGAACGCUGGCGGCGUGCCUAAUACAUGCAAGUCGAGCGAACGGACGAGAAGCUUGCUUCCCUGAUGUUAUCGGCGGACGGGUGAGUAACACGUGGAUAACCUACCUAUAAGACUGGGAUAACUUCGGGAAACCGGAGCUAAUACCGGAUAAUAUUUUGAACCGCAUGGUUCAAAAGUGAAAGACGGUCUUGCUGUCACUUAUAGAUGGAUCCGCGCUGCAUUAGUUAGUUGGUAAGGUAACGGCUUACCAAGGCAACGAUGCAUAGCCGACCUGAGAGGGUGGACGGACACAUGGGAAGUGAGACACGGCCGCGACUCCGAGGGGAGGAAACAGUAGAGAAUCUUCCGGGAGGGGCGAAUGCCUGACAUAGCACCGCCGCGUGAGUCAUGAAGGACCAAGGCUCGGAAAACGAUGUAAGUAGGGGAGAACAUAUGUGUAAGUAACUGUGCACAUCUUGACGGUACCUAAUCAGAAAGCCCCGGCUAACUACGUG
RNAcentral lists this ribosomal RNA (497 nucleotides) under uncultured bacterium. RNAcentral's name for it is "partial 16S ribosomal RNA". It matches the Rfam family "Bacterial small subunit ribosomal RNA", at positions 28 to 507 of the family's 1533-position model. The record is from RNAcentral.